UGUGUGUGUGUGUGUGUGUGUUCAACUGGUGGACAAAGGCAUGAAAGACAGGUGCAAAAAUAAAAAUAAAUCCUCUUUUGCAACCCAGAACUCAUUCACUGUUGAGUGUGAGCUUUGAUACUUACAAGGACUAGAACAGC
Molecule: small nucleolar RNA, 140 nt
Filed under: Nannospalax galili (Upper Galilee mountains blind mole rat)
Lineage: Eukaryota; Metazoa; Chordata; Mammalia; Rodentia; Spalacidae
Description: Small nucleolar RNA SNORA40 (ENSNGAG00000008456.1)
Rfam family: Small nucleolar RNA SNORA40
About the family: The snoRNA ACA 40 belongs to the H/ACA family of snoRNAs and guides the pseudouridylation of 28S rRNA subunit at position U4565.
Source: Rfam by way of RNAcentral